This 532-nucleotide ribosomal RNA is filed under the name uncultured bacterium. RNAcentral describes it as "bacterial SSU rRNA". It matches the Rfam family "Bacterial small subunit ribosomal RNA", at positions 376 to 896 of the family's 1533-position model. The record is from RNAcentral.
CGAAAGCCUGACGCAGCGACGCCGCGUGAGGGAAGAAGGCCUUCGGGUUGUAAACCUCUUUCAGGAGGGGACCGAAGCCACUCGGGUUAAUAGCCCCAGAGGGUGACGGUACCUCCAGAAGAAGCCCCGGCUAACUACGUGCCAGCAGCCGCGGUAAUACGUAGGGGGCAAGCGUUGUCCGGAUUUAUUGGGCGUAAAGCGCGUGUAGGCGGCCACGCAGGUCCGCUGUGAAAACUCGAGGCUCAACCUCGAGAUGUCGGUGGAAACCGCGUGGCUAGAGUCCGGAAGAGGAGAGUGGAAUUCCCGGUGUAGCGGUGAAAUGCGCAGAUAUCGGGAAGAACACCCAUGGCGAAGGCAGCUCUCUGGGACGGUACUGACGCUAGAGGCGCGAAAGCUAGGGGAGCAAACGGGAUUAGAUACCCCGGUAGUCCUAGCCGUAAACGAUGGACACUAGGUGUUGGUGGUAUCAACCCCGCCAGUGCCGUAGCUAACGCAUUAAGUGUCCCGCCUGGGGAGUACGGCCGCAAGGCUA